This 84-nucleotide transfer RNA is filed under the name Alphaproteobacteria bacterium. RNAcentral describes it as "tRNA-Leu". It matches the Rfam family "tRNA". Rfam says of the family: Transfer RNA (tRNA) molecules are approximately 80 nucleotides in length. Lineage: Bacteria; Pseudomonadati; Pseudomonadota; Alphaproteobacteria. The record is from RNAcentral. RNAcentral also lists the same sequence under 2 other names.
GCCGGCGUGGUGAAAUUGGUAGACACGACAGACUCAAAAUCUGUUGUCCGCAAGGACGUGUCGGUUCAAGUCCGACCGCCGGUA